Molecule: long non-coding RNA, 1892 nt
Organism: Brassica napus (rape)
Lineage: Eukaryota; Viridiplantae; Streptophyta; Magnoliopsida; Brassicales; Brassicaceae
Exons: 2
Source: RefSeq, a predicted model, not a curated record
UUUAAUUUAAUAAAAUAACAACUUUAUUAAUUCAAAUAUGCAUUUACUUUGAUAAAUGAUUUCUGUUUAUGCAUACUAGACAGAAUUACUUAACAGUCAUGUGUAUGCUAUCAAAUGUUAAUGAAUAACAGAAAGCACUCUUUCAUGCAUGCAACUCAUGCAUUAAUCAAUUAAACGGGCCAAUAUUUCCUUUCUAAUUAGGUGAAAGUCUUACAGUCACAACCGUAAUAGUGACUCUUCACAAUAUUACGGUAAUAACCGUCAUAAGGAAACUUUCAUGCAUGUGCCUUUACGUUUGUUACCGUAAAACCCAGGUUUCAUGUCGAACCUUUAAACAAACGACCAUUAUGCACACAUGAAACAUCGUGAUUUUAAUUGAUUUAUUGCAAAAUCCAUUACGUGAAUGACUACGUUCAUUUCGUAACUUGAUCAACAACAACCCGUUUAAUUUAGUGGCUGACAUAUAAAGCCCUUUAUGGCAUCGUAAGAUUCCGUAAUUAUAAUAAUAAAACAAUCGUUCAUAGAUUGAUUGAGUGUGUCGUAUCGUUACGUUCGUUUACGAUGCCAUAUUCAUAUGCAUGAUCAUCAACGCACACUUUAACAAAUACCAUACGUUUAAGUGCCGUAUGCUUAAUUACGAUGGAUUAUACUAAUCUCAUGAACACUCUUUAAAACGAAUGAAACCGUAUAUGUUCACAAGCACAUGAGAACUAAACCGAGAAUGUUCUUAACAUUUUUCAAAUGCCUAGUGAGUGAAUUAAUUAAAUCUAAGAUGGCUCUGAUACCACAUGUUAAAUAAUUUUAUGAUUUCAAUUAUGAAAUCUACACCAAGAACUGAUCUAGAUUUGAUUUAAUUCAACCCUAACACAUUUCUAAUGAAGGUAGAAACACUAACCUUGAUCCAUGCUUGGAUGCAACCCCACCAAUUGAUGUUCUCCUCUUUAACCUUCUCCUUUUGGUGAUUUCCUUGAUGGACAAGAAAUCCCAAACCUUCCUUAAUCUCUCCUUUUGAUAAUCAGUAUUGUUGUUUUUGUGUGUUUAGAGAGACUCGUUUUCUUACAUACAUAAAAGACAAUGCACACGAGGCCUUUUAUAUUAGUCAAAGGGUUGUGUGUUGCAACACAACUCUUCACAAUUAUAAUAACCGUAACACACGUAUACUGAUAUAUAUUAUAUACCAUUACUUAAUGUAUAUAACAUAUAUGCAUAUAAUUAUGAGAUUAAAGACAUUUAUGAAUAUAAGGUAAAGUAGGAGGGUUAUCAAUACACCCGGAUUCUAACUCUUUAAUCGAAACCGAUCCAUCACGGUAUCAUCUUUUAUAUUAGAAUCUAAAAACAUCAAUAUAUGAACUUGAAUUUUAUAUUAAACCAAUAGAUACAUAGGUCACAUAAAAUAUAAAAUAUUCUUACAAAUAUCUCUAAUUAUCUUCCUCACCACAAGAAUACAAGAUCACUUGUUUUUUUUUUUCUUUAGUUGUUAUUUUGGGCCAUGAAAGCUCAAAAAAACUUGGUAAGUUGGGAGAGUACUUAAAUCACAUGGAAAGUCAAACAUUUGAUGUUCAUCAUGUGCUCUCUCAUUAGUUUGAAAUCGAUCUUGAUACGCACAGGGUUGUCAGAGUGGAGCCAGAUCCUUAAAUGCAACAACUGAACUUAUUUCUGCUGGUUUCAAGAAAGUGAGAAACGUAGGAGGUGGCUAUCUGGCUUGGGUGGACCACAACUUUCCCAUCAUUAAGGAGCAGCAGCAAUCUGCAAACUAAGAGAUGCAUGCACCCUCUUUAAAUUUCCUUUUAAUAUAAUGCAAACUGUGAUGUAAUAAUAGCUCGCUAUCUCUCUUUCUCUGUAUUUAGAAUUUGCAGUGUGUUGUUGUGUUAUCAUAAAGAAAAAGAAAAGAA